GGGCGCGUAGCUCAGUUGGCAGAGCAGCUCCCCUACAACGAGCAAGUCACAGGUUCAAAUUCUGUUGUGCCA
This 72-nucleotide transfer RNA is filed under the name Propionibacteriaceae bacterium. RNAcentral's name for it is "tRNA-Val". It matches the Rfam family "tRNA". Rfam says of the family: Transfer RNA (tRNA) molecules are approximately 80 nucleotides in length. Their secondary structure includes four short double-helical elements and three loops (D, anti-codon, and T loops). Lineage: Bacteria; Bacillati; Actinomycetota; Actinomycetes; Propionibacteriales; Propionibacteriaceae. The record is from RNAcentral.